RNAcentral lists this ribosomal RNA (362 nucleotides) under uncultured bacterium. RNAcentral's name for it is "bacterial SSU rRNA". It matches the Rfam family "Bacterial small subunit ribosomal RNA", at positions 29 to 419 of the family's 1533-position model. The record is from RNAcentral.
AACGAACGCUGGCGGCAUGCCUAACACAUGCAAGUCGAACGAAGCCUUCGGGCUUAGUGGCGCACGGGUGCGUAACACGUGGGAAUCUGCCUUUAGGUACGGAAUAACUCAGGGAAACUUGUGCUAAUACCGUAUGAUGACUUCGGUCCAAAGGUUUAUCGCCUAGGGAUGAGCCCGCGUCGGAUUAGCUAGUUGGUGGGAAAGACCGUACCAAGGCGACGAUCCGUAGCUGGUCUGAGAGGAUGAUCAGCCACACUGGGACUGAGACACGGCCCAGACUCCUACGGGAGGCAGCAGUGGGGAAUAUUGGACAAUGGGCGAAAGCCUGAUCCAGCAAUGCCGCGUGAGUGAAGAAGGCCUUC